UACGUAGGGGGCAAGCGUUGUCCGGAUUUAUUGGGCGUAAAGAGCGUGUAGGCGGCCAUGUAGGUCCGGUGUGAAAACUCGAGGCUUAACCUCGAGAUGUCAUCGGAAACCAUUUGGCUAGAGUCCGGAAGAGGAGAGUGGAAUUCCUGGUGUAGCGGUGAAAUGCGCAGAUAUCAGGAGGAACACCAAUGGCGAAGGCAGCUCGCUGGGACGGUACUGACGCUGAGACGCGAAAGCGUGGGGAGCAAACAGG
This 253-nucleotide ribosomal RNA is filed under the name uncultured bacterium. RNAcentral describes it as "partial 16S ribosomal RNA". It matches the Rfam family "Bacterial small subunit ribosomal RNA", at positions 524 to 776 of the family's 1533-position model. The record is from RNAcentral.